Molecule: ribosomal RNA, 468 nt
Filed under: uncultured bacterium
Lineage: Bacteria
Description: partial 16S ribosomal RNA
Rfam family: Bacterial small subunit ribosomal RNA
Source: RNAcentral
GACGAACGCUGGCGGCGUGCUUAACACAUGCAAGUCGAACGGAAAGGCCCUGCUUUUGUGGGGUGCUCGAGGGGCGAACGGGUGAGUAACACGUGAGUAACCUGCCCUAGACUUUGGGAUAACUUCAGGAAACUGGGGCUAAUACCGGAUAGGAGCUCCUGCUGGAUGGUGGGGGUGGGAAAGUUUCGGCGGGUGGGGAUGGACGCGCGGCUUAUCAGCUUGUUGGUGGGGGAGUUGCUUACCAAGGAUUUGACGGGUAGCCGGCCUGUGAGGGUGACCGGCCACAUUGGGACUGAGAUACGGCCCAGACUCCUACGGGAGGCAGCAGUGGGGAAUAUUGCACAAUGGGCGGAAGCCUGAUGCAGCAACGCCGCGUGCGGGAUGACGGCCUUCGGGUUGUAAACCGCUUUCGCCUGUGACGAAGCGUGAGUGACGGUAAUGGGUAAAGAAGCACCGGCUAACUACGUG